CCGCCUCCUCCUGCCCACUCAUCACCGCCGUCGAACCGGCUGCCUCGGCUCUGUCUCUGCGCCAUGUCCGCACCCUGGGAACCUCUCCCAUAGCCGCUCGGCCCGAUCUGCCGUGUCUCGGCAGUGGCAGCGGCGCUUCCCUUCCCCCGUCCCAGCCACCCCUCUCCGGCGAGCUUGUGCUCUUCUCUCGGCGUCGCCGGCGAGCUCGCCUUCCAAUGGGUGUCUGGUUUGUGGGUGACAUGCGGCCGUCUUGGCCUUGGACCCGGGCACUAUGACAUUGUCAAGCAGUCUUGAAAUCGGCUUCACUGCCUCAGGGUUGAAGAACAUUGCUGAUCUGAGGAGACAUUCACACAGUGACACAGGGGAUGUGAUGUGAGGACUGAGGAAAAACGACGAAUUGAGAUAUCCCUUCCAAUGCAUGAAUAUGAUAAGCUCAAGAGUAAACUGACUUACACUGUCAUGUGUGGAUCUCUUAUCCACGACCACGCGUGUUGAACCUUAUUUUUUCUUAACGCAGAGCUUUCAACCUCCUUCUCAUCUGUAUUUGCCAGACUCUGCGAGUUCCUCAGGAAGAUCCUCUCCUGCCGAGCAUUAUUCCGUGCCAUCUCAUCCUCCUAAUGUAUGUGUUAACAAGGGUCCGUAUUCAACCGUUCGCGGAUGAAGUACUCCAGCGCUGCUGAUAUCUUCUCCAUGAAUUCCGUCCCCGGCAUCUUGACAACAGGAUUCUCAAGCUCGUACGUAUCUCGGGGCAUCACCUCUUUCCCCUGAGCUCUGAAUAUCUCCGUCAAGAGAAUCGCUUCAGCCUCCUGGUGCAUAUAUGCAUUGUGAAUUUUAUGAUAAACUGUUACCUUGUCGAGGGAAUGAAAUGAAAUAGACUUGAGGGCUCACCGAGUCUGCACGAUACUUGGCAGUUUUGAAGUACCUCUGUCGCAGCUUGGUCAUCUUGGACAUAGGGGCGACGCCAUCUGCGGUUGGAAUUUGUAGGUGGAUGAUGCAUAUCAUGGGAAAGAGGAAUCAAGAGAAGCCAUUUUUGUGUGUACUAGGGAUCGAUCCAUGUAUAUAAUAUGUACGGACCUACUGCCAAGUAAAGGAGCCUCCUUGGCCUGACGAUGCGAAACAGGCGAUCCAAGUAAGCGAAAAACCAAUUGUACACCUGCGCAAAUGCCAGUGAAAUUAAGGCCAGGUCAAGAGUUCAAGAGAA
Molecule: long non-coding RNA, 1201 nt
Organism: Triticum aestivum (bread wheat)
Lineage: Eukaryota; Viridiplantae; Streptophyta; Magnoliopsida; Poales; Poaceae
Exons: 4
Source: RefSeq, a predicted model, not a curated record